This 73-nucleotide small nucleolar RNA is filed under the name Aspergillus rambellii. RNAcentral's name for it is "A. fumigatus snoRNA Afu_328". It matches the Rfam family "A. fumigatus snoRNA Afu_328". The record is from Rfam by way of RNAcentral. Lineage: Eukaryota; Fungi; Ascomycota; Eurotiomycetes; Eurotiales; Aspergillaceae.
UUUUAUGAUGAGCAAUUUUAUUAUUAGUUAUCCCUGUCAGAACUACACUGUUGAUAACGUACACCUCUGAAAA